Non-coding RNA from Gossypium hirsutum (cotton), 144 nucleotides. The record is from Rfam. Lineage: Eukaryota; Viridiplantae; Streptophyta; Magnoliopsida; Malvales; Malvaceae.
UGUUAAAAAAUCAUUUAUUUGUGCUCUUAAAAACUAUCAUGGCUGACGAAAUAAUCAAAUACUACCAUGUGAUAUGCCAUGUGUAACUCAUACUAAUGUACAUGGUUCAGUUUUUAACCGCAGAAAUGGAUGAAAUUUUGAACA